This 269-nucleotide ribosomal RNA is filed under the name uncultured prokaryote. RNAcentral's name for it is "partial 16S ribosomal RNA". It matches the Rfam family "Bacterial small subunit ribosomal RNA", at positions 524 to 792 of the family's 1533-position model. The record is from RNAcentral.
UACGGAGGAUCCGAGCGUUAUCCGGAUUUAUUGGGUUUAAAGGGUGCGCAGGCGGGAGAUUAAGUCGGCGGUGAAAUUUUGCAGCUCAACUGUAAAAGUGCCUUCGAAACUGGUUUCCUUGAGUGUAGAUGAAGUAGGCGGAAUUUGUGGUGUAGCGGUGAAAUGCAUAGAUAUCACGAGGAACUCCGAUUGCGCAGGCAGCUUACUAAACUACUACUGACGCUCAGGCACGAAGGCGUGGGGGUCAAACAGGAUUAGAUACUCUGGUA